AGAGUUUGAUCAUGGCUCAGGAUGAACGCUGGCGGCGUGCUUAACACAUGCAAGUCGAACGAACCUUCGGGUUAGUGGCGGACGGGUGAGUAACGCGUGAGAAUCUGCCCUCAGGAGGGGGAUAACGGUUGGAAACGACCGCUAAUACCCCAUAUGCCUACUGGUGAAACGAAUUUCGCCUGAGGAUGAGCUCGCGUCUGAUUAGCUAGUUGGUGAGGUAAUGGCUCACCAAGGCUUCGAUCAGUAGCUGGUCUGAGAGGAUGAUCAGCCACACUGGGACUGAGACACGGCCCAGACUCCUACGGGAGGCAGCAGUGGGGAAUUUUCCGCAAUGGGCGAAAGCCUGACGGAGCAACGCCGCGUGAGGGACGAAGGCCUCUGGGCUGUAAACCUCUUUUCUCAAGGAAGAAGAUAUGACGGUACUUGAGGAAUAAGCCACGGCUAAAUCCGUGCCAGCAGCCGCGGUAAUAC
Molecule: ribosomal RNA, 471 nt
Filed under: uncultured bacterium
Lineage: Bacteria
Description: bacterial SSU rRNA
Rfam family: Bacterial small subunit ribosomal RNA
Source: RNAcentral